UCCCUUGAGAAGGAUGGAAGAGGCCCUUGGGCCUGACAACACGCAUAUGGUUAGGAAACAUGGUUCAAACUCAUUUCAUUA
RNAcentral lists this small nuclear RNA (81 nucleotides) under Fukomys damarensis (Damara mole-rat). Lineage: Eukaryota; Metazoa; Chordata; Mammalia; Rodentia; Bathyergidae. The record is from RNAcentral.